Long non-coding RNA from Pipistrellus kuhlii (Kuhl's pipistrelle), 1339 nucleotides. RefSeq lists it as uncharacterized. The transcript has 3 exons. The record is from RefSeq and is a predicted model, not a curated record. NCBI's taxonomy places the organism in Eukaryota, Metazoa, Chordata, Mammalia, Chiroptera, Vespertilionidae.
AUGAAUGUCAUAAUGUUCCCAAUUUCUAACCAGAGGUAAAAAACAAACAAACAAACAAAAAACCUAGAUUUAGAGUUAUAUUAACAUAAAAUGCACUCCACCAUGCCUGCAACAAAUAAAUUAGAAGAUGCUGUAAGAAACUGGAAUUAAGCCCCAAUGGGCCCCCGACCCUUUCUUCCUUCUUUAGAUUAAUGAAAACUGUCCCUCACCACCUCCAUUUACAUUCCUGCAACCAUUUACCAAAAAGGGCAUUAUCUCGAGCUGCCGCAGGGUGUGAUUUUACCAUAAGUUAGUUACAUGACUUGUAAAUGCCCAGAAAUCCCCACGUGGCAUAUACUUCCGCUGUUACUAGAGACCAGGGGACAGCAUUUGCUUUACUCCAGAUUUUUUAUUUUAUUUUAGUAAACAUCUCAUGUCUUUUGUCUUUAGGCCAUAAAAUAAGACUGAGUUUGCCUAGCUCACAGGCCCUCGGGUUGGCUUUGAAGAUCCGGAGCUGACCUGUCCUCGCUGGAGGCAUGGCAUCCCAGCGGUGUCACUAGCAGCCCAGUUUAUAAACAACUCUGAGAAGUCACCCAUACGCUCAAGUGCAGGGAGGAGAGAGCAUGCUGAUAUGGAAGUAGCAGAACAGAGAUUCGAUCACAACAAAGGAAAUAUCGGCCACAGGCACAUCCUGUGCUUGAAACACCUCCUGGCCUCCUGUGAGCAGCCCGUUGGAGAGCUGCUCAGGCUCCCGCCCCAGCCGCAGGUGCAGGGUCCGCCCUGGGCCAGCGAGCACACUUGCUUCGGCUCUACUAAACUCGUUUCAUGUCACCCCAUCCGUUUUCUAGGUUAAAUCAUUAAAAAAUGUAUAAGUUUUGCUGUGGGAAACUUCAGUUGAGUAUCACAUACUGCCCACAUCUAUUAAUAAAAUGGCAUGUGAUGCCUCCACAGCCUAUCUUUUAAAGGUCCAACUCAUCAGCACACGUAUGUUGAGUGAGCUUUCCUUUGCACUGUUAAAUACAUUGGUGAGUUUCCCUGGGGGAGGAUGCAAAAGUUCUGGAGACCGACAGCGGUAUAUGUGCACCGCAAUGUGAAUGUGCUUAAUGCCACGGAAUGGUACACUUAAAAAUGGCUGAAACGGUAAAUAUUCUGUUAUGAAUGCUGUACCACACACCCAUACACAGAAGAAGCCAUCAGAUUGAACAAGGUGGAUAAUACUAGAGAUUUUUUCAUUGCUAGCUUAGUUGGCCAUUUCAAAUUUGUUAGCUUAUGGCUUAAGUCGGCCAUUUCAAAUAAUAAGCAAGACAUAAUGAUAUUUCCCAAAGAAAUACAAAUUUUCUAUUUACUGCUAGAGGGAAAA